AGUCACUGACGUAGUUUGACUCCUGGCUCAGAACGACGCUGGCGGCAGGCCUAACACAUGCAAGUCGAGCGAGGACUUCGGUCCUAGCGGCGGACGGGUGAGUAACGCGUGGGAACGUGCCCUUUGGUACGGAAUAGCCCCGGGAAACUGGGAGUAAUACCGUAUGGUGUCUUCGGACUAAAGAUUUAUCGCCAAAGGAUCGGCCCGCGCUGGAUUAGGUAGUUGGUGGGGUAAUGGCCUACCAAGCCGACGAUCCAUAGCUGGUUUGAGAGGAUGAUCAGCCACACUGGGACUGAGACACGGCCCAGACUCCUACGGGAGGCAGCAGUGGGGAAUCUUAGACAAUGGGGGGCAACCCUGAUCUAGCCAUGCCGCGUGAGUGAUGAAGGCCCUAGGGUUGUAAAGCUCUUUCAGCUGGGAAGAUAAUGACGGUACCAGCAGAAGAAGCCCCGGCUAACUCCGUG
RNAcentral lists this ribosomal RNA (464 nucleotides) under uncultured bacterium. RNAcentral describes it as "bacterial SSU rRNA". It matches the Rfam family "Bacterial small subunit ribosomal RNA", at positions 1 to 507 of the family's 1533-position model. The record is from RNAcentral.